UACCAGCUGGCUGCAACUGUUUAUUAAAAACACAGCACUGUGCAAACACGAAAGUGGACGUAUACGGUGUGACGCCUGCCCGGUGCCGGAAGGUUAAUUGAUGGGGUCAGCGCAAGCGAAGCUCCUGAUCGAAGCCCCGGUAAACGGCGGCCGUAACUAUAACGGUCCUAAGGUAGCGAAAUUCCUUGUCGGGUAAGUUCCGACCUGCACGAAUGGCGUAAUGAUGGCCAGGCUGUCUCCACCCGAGACUCAGUGAAAUUGAACUCGCUGUGAAGAUGCAGUGUACCCGCGGCAAGACGGAAAGACCCCGUGAACCUUUACUAUAGCUUGACACUGAACAUUGAGCCUUGAUGUGUAGGAUAGGUGGGAGGCUUUGAAGUGUGGACGCCAGUCUGCAUGGAGCCGACCUUGAAAUACCACCCUUUAAUGUUUGAUGUUCUAACGUGGACCCGUGAUCCGGGUUGCGGACAGUGUCUGGUGGGUAGUUUGACUGGGGCGGUCUCCUCCUAAAGAGUAACGGAGGAGCACGAAGGUUGGCUAAUCCUGGUCGGACAUCAGGAGGUUAGUGCAAUGGCAUAAGCCAGCUUGACUGCGAGCGUGACGGCGCGAGCAGGUGCGAAAGCAGGUCAUAGUGAUCCGGUGGUUCUGAAUGGAAGGGCCAUCGCUCAACGGAUAAAAGGUACUCCGGGGAUAACAGGCUGAUACCGCCCAAGAGUUCAUAUCGACGGCGGUGUUUGGCACCUCGAUGUCGGCUCAUCACAUCCUGGGGCUGAAGUAGGUCCCAAGGGUAUGGCUGUUCGCCAUUUAAAGUGGUACGCGAGCUGGGUUUAGAACGUCGUGAGACAGUUCGGUCCCUAUCUGCCGUGGGCGCUGGAGAACUGAGGGGGGCUGCUCCUAGUACGAGAGGACCGGAGUGGACGCAUCACUGGUGUUCGGGUUGUCAUGCCAAUGGCACUGCCCGGUAGCUAAAUGCGGAAGAGAUAAGUGCUGAAAGCAUCUAAGCACGAAACUUGCCCCGAGAUGAGUUCUCCCUGAGACUUUAGGUCUCCUGAAGGAACGUUGAAGACGACGACGUUGAUAGGCCGGGUGUGUAAGCGCAGCGAUGCGUUGAGCUAACCGGUACUAAUGAACCGUGAGGCUUAACCUUACAACGCCGAAG
This 1159-nucleotide ribosomal RNA is filed under the name Salmonella enterica. Its description in RNAcentral is "partial 23S ribosomal RNA". It matches the Rfam family "Bacterial large subunit ribosomal RNA", at positions 1783 to 2925 of the family's 2925-position model. Lineage: Bacteria; Pseudomonadati; Pseudomonadota; Gammaproteobacteria; Enterobacterales; Enterobacteriaceae. The record is from RNAcentral. RNAcentral also lists the same sequence under 8 other names.